This 481-nucleotide ribosomal RNA is filed under the name uncultured bacterium. Its description in RNAcentral is "partial 16S ribosomal RNA". It matches the Rfam family "Bacterial small subunit ribosomal RNA", at positions 28 to 507 of the family's 1533-position model. The record is from RNAcentral.
GAUGAACGCUGGCGGCGUGCCUAACACAUGCCAGUCGAGCGGAGAUUACGGACGGAAGUUUUCGGAUGGAAGCCUGUAAUUCUUAGUGGCGGACGGGUGAGUAACGCGUGGGCAACCUGCCCUAUACAGGGGGAUAGCAGCUGGAAACGGCUGGUAAGACCGCAUAAGUCGGCGAGACCGCAUGGUUUUGCCGGGAAAUGAGCAAUCAGGUAUAGGAUGGGCCCGCGUCCGAUUAGCCAGUUGGCAGGGUAAAAGCCUACCAAAGCAACGAUCGGUAGCCGGACUGAGAGGUCGGACGGCCACAUUGGGACUGAGACACGGCCCAAACUCCUACGGGAGGCAGCAGUGGGGGAUAUUGCACAAUGGAGGAAACUCUGAUGCAGCGACGCCGCGUGAGUGAAGAAGUAUUUCGGUAUGUAAAGCUCUAUCAGCAGGGAAGAUGAUGACGGUACCUGACUAAGAAGCCCCGGCUAACUACGUG